Molecule: ribosomal RNA, 478 nt
Filed under: uncultured bacterium
Lineage: Bacteria
Description: partial 16S ribosomal RNA
Rfam family: Bacterial small subunit ribosomal RNA
Source: RNAcentral
UGGGGAAUAUUGCACAAUGGGCGAAAGCCUGAUGCAGCAACGCCGCGUGAGUGAUGAAGGUCUUCGGAUUGUAAAGCUCUGUCUUUUGGGACGAUAAUGACGGUACCAAAGGAGGAAGCCACGGCUAACUACGUGCCAGCAGCCGCGGUAAUACGUAGGUGGCGAGCGUUGUCCGGAUUUACUGGGCGUAAAGGGUGCGUAGGCGGAUGUUUAAGUGAGAUGUGAAAUACCCGGGCUUAACUUGGGUGCUGCAUUUCAAACUGGAUAUCUAGAGUGCAGGAGAGGAGAAUGGAAUUCCUAGUGUAGCGGUGAAAUGCGUAGAGAUUAGGAAGAACACCAGUGGCGAAGGCGAUUCUCUGGACUGUAACUGACGCUGAGGCACGAAAGCGUGGGUAGCAAACAGGAUUAGAUACCCUGGUAGUCCACGCCGUAAACGAUGAGUACUAGGUGUAGGAGGUAUCGACCCCUUCUGUGCCGC